GUCUAUAGCCAUGCCAUCCUGAACAUGCUCGAUCUUAUCUGAUCUUGGAAGCUAAGCAGGGUUGGGCCUGGUUAAUUCUUGAAUGGGAGAGCACUUAGGAAUACCAGGUGCUGUAGGCU
RNAcentral lists this ribosomal RNA (119 nucleotides) under Pteropus alecto (black flying fox). Lineage: Eukaryota; Metazoa; Chordata; Mammalia; Chiroptera; Pteropodidae. The record is from RNAcentral.